This 123-nucleotide small RNA is filed under the name Paraburkholderia tropica. Its description in RNAcentral is "Bp1_684". It matches the Rfam family "Burkholderia sRNA Bp1_Cand684_SIPHT". Lineage: Bacteria; Pseudomonadati; Pseudomonadota; Betaproteobacteria; Burkholderiales; Burkholderiaceae. The record is from RNAcentral.
AGAAAAGUAGGUGCCGCCCCGCACAGGGGCAACGCAUGCAGACCGACAAGAAAACAAGGAAAGGCCAACACGAGAAGAAAACGCACGAGUAUUAACUAGCAGCCACGCUCCCGCAAAAAAAUU